GUAAGGCCAAAUUUUGGGGGAGGGAGCAGGGUGCUGGGAGUGGGAUGGGGGGACAGAUUCACCAAGCUGGGAACAAAUAAAACAUAGCAGCAUAUAUCACCAACAGCUGAGGAAACAUCAUCAUCAUCAGAGCAUACCUUCUGUGGAGAUAAGUCAUGAAUAUUUUUUUGCCAUUCAAAACAAAAACUUUACCUGGACCAAGUCUCUUUUUUGUUUACCUAAGAUUUCUCUGGAAUACAUCCUGGAUACAGAGUUCUUGAAUCAUCGGAGUCCACACCUUUACAUUACUAGCUUCAGCUGUCUGGAAAACUUUCUCAAGGAGAUGAACAAAAACUGGCCAUUCCAUUACAUUGGAAAGUCAAGAUAUGGGGACAUCAACAAGAGCCUUUCUUUGACCGCUGGAACUCUUACCUCUCAACUUCGACCUGGGAGGCAGUCAUCAUGCCCUAUUUUACACUGCAUCAUGUCGUGCCCUGAUCUAUGUGAUCACCUUGCCCUUUAUCAGUGAUGAUGUUACUGUUAUUCACUGCUACAGAUCUCAUGGUUCAAAGCACUGAACUCUUGUUACAUAGAAACAAUGUUUGGAAUACUCUUGUAUCCAAAACAACUUUCAGUGCAUUUGAGGUAUCCCAUUAGUAAAAACCCACCGACAAACGCGUAAACAUAUUUUUGAGUGCCCUUACACUGAAACCUCUAUUUGCCCCCCUCUGAAACUGACAUUUGUUUAGUCUUUUUUGUUUGGAGUGUAAAAACUGAACAAGUAGAAAACUGAAACUGUGUAAACUUUGUGACUGUCUAUAGCACGUCAGUGAUCCAGAAUGUAUGUGUAACCAUUGAAAAAAGCAGCAGAAAUGCAACAUCACUAACAUUUCGAUCUUAGCGCAGAACAAACUCAGCUUUGAGAUAAGUGGGUAGGUUAUGGGGAGUGAAAAUAACCAUGUUUCUGUUGGUCAAGACCCUUCUCCACAAUGUCAACAGCUCUCAGUUUCAACAAAGAUGCUUUCAAAAAUAUAUUGAUUAGAUUUGCUCCUGAAUUUCGAGUUCAGAUCAUCUAAAAUUCAAAGAUGUUCCUGACCAUUUCAACCUGGUUUAAAGGUCGCUGAAGACAGAACAAAAACUUUCACUGUGGACUGAGAGACAUGACGAUAGGAGUGAGGGUUUGAUGAUUGAGAGUGAAGGAAAUAAGAGUAUGGUCUCCUGAUCUCAAUGUACCAGACAAAUACAGACACAUGAGAGAAGCACGGGAGGUUUUAGCUAUGUGUCUCUCAGAGCACCAAGUAAUCUGAGCUAAUCACGAUCCAAUUAAGCAGUGUUUGAGAUUUCUUUGCUAGCAGCUAUUAAUUAAGAUUCAAAAAUCUCAUUUUUUUUUCUUGUCAAGUCCGUCGUGCUAUGUAACUUGUCUUUUAAUGUUUCAAACAGCUCUGGCAUGGCCAUACAGGAGAUGUGGGAAGUGGAGAAAGGCCUAUGCCCUUUUCAACAAAAGCGUCUUUGUGUUUAUAAUAAUCUGUGAGGUCUGAAGUCCAUUUUUGUAAUUCUUUCUCGUUCUUUUUUCCACACUGCAUUAGCAUAGCAUGUGUUUCAUGUGUUUAACAAUUCCUACAUUAUGCCAUCCAGAUGGUAGAACCUUGGAAAGUUUGGUUCUAACCACGGUGCUGUAUACUUAAUAAAUAUGUGCUGACAUUAA
Long non-coding RNA from Puntigrus tetrazona (Sumatra barb), 1684 nucleotides. RefSeq lists it as uncharacterized. The record is from RefSeq and is a predicted model, not a curated record. Lineage: Eukaryota; Metazoa; Chordata; Actinopteri; Cypriniformes; Cyprinidae. The transcript is spliced from 2 exons.